RNAcentral lists this ribosomal RNA (439 nucleotides) under uncultured bacterium. Its description in RNAcentral is "bacterial SSU rRNA". It matches the Rfam family "Bacterial small subunit ribosomal RNA", at positions 29 to 506 of the family's 1533-position model. The record is from RNAcentral.
UUGAACGCUGGCGGCAUGGCUAAAACAUGCAAGUCGAACGAGAACCCCGCAAGGGGGGACAGUGGCGGAAGGGCGAGUAAUGCAUUCGAACGUACCCCGAGGUGUGGGAUAGGCAUGGGAAACUGUGCGUAAUACCGCAUGUGAUCCUCGGAUGAAAGCCUUCGGGCGCCUUGGGAGCGGCGAAUGUCCUAUCAGGUAGUUGGCGGGGUAAAAGCCCACCAAGCCGAAGACGGGUAGCGGGUGUGAGAGCACGACCCGCCGCAUCGGGACUGAGACACUGCCCGGACUCCUACGGGAGGCUGCAGUAACGAAUAUUCCGCAAUGCGCGAAAGCGUGACGGAGCAAUGCCGCGUGCAGGAUGAAGCGGUUUCGCCGUGUAAACUGCUGUCAGGAGUCAGAAACACUGAUCGACUCCAGAGGAAGGGCCGGCUAAUCCUGU